This 336-nucleotide unclassified non-coding RNA is filed under the name soil metagenome. RNAcentral describes it as "partial contains 5.8S ribosomal RNA, internal transcribed spacer 2, and large subunit ribosomal RNA". The stretch from base 1 to 120 matches the Rfam family "5.8S ribosomal RNA", at positions 35 to 154 of the family's 154-position model. The record is from RNAcentral.
GAUGAAGAACGUAGCGAAAUGCGAUAAGUUAUGUGAAUUGCAGAAUUCAGUGAAUCAUCGAAUCUUUGAACGCACAUUGCGCCCGCCAGUAUUCUGGCGGGCAUGCCUGUUCGAGCGUCAUUUCAACCAUCAAGCCCCAGGCUUGUGUUGGGGACCUGCGGCUGCCGCAGGCCCUGAAAACCAGUGGCGGGCUCGCUGUCACACCGGGCGUAGUAGAUUUUAUCUCGCUCAGGGCGUGCUGCGGGUUCCGGCCGUUAAAAAGCCUUUUUUACCCAAGGUUGACCUCGGAUCAGGUAGGAAUACCCGCUGAACUUAAGCAUAUCAAUAAGCGGAGGA